Molecule: long non-coding RNA, 424 nt
Organism: Cavia porcellus (domestic guinea pig)
Lineage: Eukaryota; Metazoa; Chordata; Mammalia; Rodentia; Caviidae
Exons: 3
Source: RefSeq, a predicted model, not a curated record
GUCCCCUGAAGCAGCGACAGCCACGAAAUCAGGGGGAAUAUUACAGCUUGUACAAUGUAUGUAAAGUCAUACAAACUACCGCCUAGGUGCCAGAUGUUCGUGUUUAUGAAGAUCGCACUAUUGUGAGGUCAGUGUUGGUGCUGUAAAUUCAGAUCCAGCUUCCUCUGACUUCACUUAGAAACUCAGCCCUGUCUGAAGUCUCCACAGCACACUGAUGAAGCCUGCACUGACUGCUGCUCACAGCUUUCCAGCCCAAGGCAGAAGACCUGGGAAUUAUGUCCCCUGGUAUGGUGAGGUGUCAGAAGUUGCAGGGUGAUCUGGGCAUUGACAGGAUUGAACCUGAGUCCACCAACAACUCAUAAACUCAGGAUAUGCACAGGACAUGAGCCUGGCUCUUCAUGUUUGCACACACCCAGAUUUAGAG